GCGACCGUAGCUCAGUCAGGUUAGAGCGCCAGGUUGUGGCCCUGGAGGACGGGGGUUCAAGUCCCCUCGGUCGUCCCA
RNAcentral lists this transfer RNA (78 nucleotides) under bacterium. Its description in RNAcentral is "tRNA-His". It matches the Rfam family "tRNA". From Rfam's summary of the family: Transfer RNA (tRNA) molecules are approximately 80 nucleotides in length. Their secondary structure includes four short double-helical elements and three loops (D, anti-codon, and T loops). RNAcentral also lists the same sequence under 2 other names. The record is from RNAcentral.